UGGGGAAUAUUGCACAAUGGGCGGAAGCCUGAUGCAGCGACGCCGCGUGAGGGAUGACGGCCUUCGGGUUGUAAACCUCUUUCAGUAGGGACGAAGCGUAAGUGACGGUACCUGCAGAAGAAGCACCGGCUAACUACGUGCCAGCAGCCGCGGUAAUACGUAGGUCCCGAGCGUUGUCCGGAUUUAUUGGGCGUAAAGCGAGCGCAGGCGGUUAGAAAAGUCUGAAGUGAAAGGCAGUGGCUCAACCAUUGUAGGCUUUGGAAACUGUUUAACUUGAGUGCAGAAGGGGAGAGUGGAAUUCCAUGUGUAGCGGUGAAAUGCGUAGAUAUAUGGAGGAACACCGGUGGCGAAAGCGGCUCUCUGGUCUGUAACUGACGCUGAGGCUCGAAAGCGUGGGGAGCGAACAGG
This 408-nucleotide ribosomal RNA is filed under the name Verrucomicrobiota bacterium. Its description in RNAcentral is "Verrucomicrobia bacterium partial 16S ribosomal RNA". It matches the Rfam family "Bacterial small subunit ribosomal RNA", at positions 355 to 776 of the family's 1533-position model. The record is from RNAcentral. Lineage: Bacteria; Pseudomonadati; Verrucomicrobiota.